AAUAAACAUUGGGUUUAGGGUCUGAAGAACUCAUAAAUUGUUGUGUUGUCUAUCAGCUUCAUCUCUGUUAAUAUCCCACGAGAAUGGAGUUAAAUAACAGCGCUACAUGU
This 110-nucleotide small nucleolar RNA is filed under the name Olea europaea subsp. europaea. RNAcentral's name for it is "Small nucleolar RNA snoR97". It matches the Rfam family "Small nucleolar RNA snoR97". The record is from Rfam by way of RNAcentral. Lineage: Eukaryota; Viridiplantae; Streptophyta; Magnoliopsida; Lamiales; Oleaceae.